GCUGCGAUGGCCGAGUGGUUAAUGCGUUCGACUCGAAAUCCAAUGGGAUAUUCCCGCGCAGGUUCGAAUCCUGUUCGCAACG
Non-coding RNA from Ciona savignyi (Pacific transparent sea squirt), 82 nucleotides. The record is from Rfam. NCBI's taxonomy places the organism in Eukaryota, Metazoa, Chordata, Ascidiacea, Phlebobranchia, Cionidae.